GAGAGAGUUCAAAAGUACGUGAAACCGUUUAGGGGUAAACGGAAAAGAUCCAAAAUAUCUUUAAGGAAAGAUUCACGUCCAUUUAAAUAUCUUGCAAAUUAAUACAGGACAACAUUUUGCCCCAUUCGGUUUAACUGAUUUGGUGGAUUGUGUUGCUUGUAUAUAUUUGUAUUUAUAGUAUUAAACGGACCGCACUUCUUUCUAAAAAAGACACCGUAAACUGUGCUAAAGCAAUCAUUAUUGGACAUCUUAAGUGUCUAUUAUAAAAUGUAUAAAUUUUUGUAUAUUUAUUAGUAGCUAAGUAGAUCCAAUGUUGCUAAUAGUACAGUAAUGUUUUUGUGCAAAUCUUAAGCUAAUUUUUAUUAGUUUUAUAUAAUAUGCUAGUUAGUUUUAUACAUUUUUUAAGACUUUUAGCCUUGUUGUAUAUAUAUCUAACUGUUUGCAUUAAUUAUAUAAAGCA
RNAcentral lists this ribosomal RNA (460 nucleotides) under Phymata fasciata fasciata. Its description in RNAcentral is "partial large subunit ribosomal RNA". The record is from RNAcentral. Lineage: Eukaryota; Metazoa; Arthropoda; Insecta; Hemiptera; Phymatidae.